UUUUAAAUAGCUUAAAAAAAGUUUAAUAUUGAAAAUAUUAAGAUGAUAAAUUUUAUCUUUAAAAA
RNAcentral lists this transfer RNA (65 nucleotides) under Cephalonomia gallicola. RNAcentral's name for it is "tRNA-Phe". The record is from RNAcentral. Lineage: Eukaryota; Metazoa; Arthropoda; Insecta; Hymenoptera; Bethylidae.